Molecule: long non-coding RNA, 719 nt
Organism: Brienomyrus brachyistius
Lineage: Eukaryota; Metazoa; Chordata; Actinopteri; Osteoglossiformes; Mormyridae
Exons: 4
Source: RefSeq, a predicted model, not a curated record
CAGAUCCGUCCCUUUCCUUAUUAGGCUAUCGGGCCAGAGGGGAAUUUGUUAAACACGUGCCAUUUAACCUGCAGGGCACUGACAUCACUUCUUUUCGGGGAUCCGGUGCAAUUACUCACGCAUUACUUACUUAGACAAAUUAAGACACGUUUUUAUGAAUGCAUAAACCUGCCAGCAUGUGCUGUUUUAGAUACAAGUGUUUUAAGCAGGAGCGCACGGCUGCGGUACCCGGGCGCACCGCCGGCGCUUGUUUGAAACUCCCUGGCCUGGCUCGUAAACCCUCAUCCGGUCCCAAUUCAGAAUCGGCUUCGUGUGGCCUGGCGGGGGGAGCAGACCGGGACGCGCCGCGCUCCUCCGAAGAAGGACGGCAUCUUAAAGCCCGCAGCUGUUUCCACUUGUCUCUGAGAGGGUGGGGAGAAAAUGACGUAAUGAGAUUUGGUAGCGAGGUUGGAGGUCGCAGCUGGAGAACAUCUGGAAGGUGGAGGGGGGGAGCUACCAGGCUGGCUGCGGCGAGGAGGGUUCCUGGCACGGUGAUUUGAUACGAAGACUAACAAAAAUCACAUUGCCAGGGAUUUCCGCUUGGCCGCCGCCCCUCACAGCCGCCGCCCCUCACAGCCCCCUCAGCAGACCUCGGGGCUCCCUUGGAAAAGGACGCGGCCGAUCUCUGACUUUGACGCUCCCACAGCCUGUGGGGAGGGGACAAAGACACAUAAACUUUG